GUGCUGUUUUUGUUCCAGUGAUCUCAGCAGUGUCAGUAUCAUACAGGGGACAUAAAAGGACAUAAUAUUAUCAUUGCAAGUUCUUGGACAGUUCUAGGCUGAACUGUGUCAAACUCAAAGUUGUACUCUGAUACGUAAAAUGAGAACAGGUCAUAAUUUAAGGUUGCCUAAUUCCAUACCGCGUGUGUCAGACCUCAUGAUGCGCCUACAUUUAACUCUGGUUUAGGUAUUUGCCAAUAACUUGCUAGCACAUGGUGCACCAGCCCUCUUCCUCCUUGGUCAAAAUAUUCCCAGUAGAAAAAAAUAUUAGAUUUGGCUUUUGCAGAUCAUGCUCAUACAACAGAUGAGGCAUCUGCAUCGUGAGAGACUGCCCUGCUGUGAAUGAAAAAGCGGAAUCCAAACCCAGGUCUUCUCAACGCCAAACAGAAAUCCAGUAACGGUGGAAAGACGCCAUGCCUUCCUCACGAUCCGCUGUGAACUGAACUCCUUUACAUCCAUUUGUGUACACUCACCUCUGCUCUAAAAGGGAAAAAGACAUUUGACAGAUGAGUCCGCACCCUGAUUUUCACAGGAUCUUCUUCAGGUUGCAGCUCUGGGUAAGACGGACUUGAGAAUGAUGCUACGAAUCAUGCCUCUCCUGGGUGGAGACACAAACACCUCUCUGCUCACUGCUGCACGGUGAAAUAUGGUUGUGGGAAUGCACGCAUCCAGUACCACACUCAGAUCUGUGAAAGCUUAGUUCAAGACCAGCACCUAGCAGGGUGCCUGACAGAGAGGAGGCACAUGACAAAUGUUUAUGGAAUGAGCGUUGCAUUUAAGGCGCGAGGAUGGCUGGAUACAGAAAGGAAUCAUUUUAAAACUAUACAUAUCCUGUGCACUUGAAUCUGAAAGGAGAAGUAUUCCUAAUUUUAUCUUAAUUUGUAAUUUAACAGAGUUAACUUCCUCCAAAGUCUGGCCUCCCCUUCUUUUUGUCCCCCGAUAUUCAUUGCUCCUCUUCCACACCAGUGGGAUUUUAGCUGGGGACAUGUCUGCUCGGAAUACAGACUGUGUAUCUCAGCCUCCCUUGCAGCUACGUGUGAUUAAGCUGCCCGGCAGUAUGUGAGCAAGAAUGCUGUAUGUGAGCAUCUGAGGAGCUUCCAGAAAGAUAGCUGCUGUACACCCUACACCCUUUCUUGAUUCCUUCCUGGAAUUCCAGCCCGGCCUCCGUCUUGGAGCACAAAGACAGCCUCAGGAUGGCCAAGUGAAGCUGAAAGAGAAUUAAU
RNAcentral lists this long non-coding RNA (1262 nucleotides) under Bos indicus x Bos taurus (hybrid cattle). RNAcentral describes it as "lncRNA (ENSBIXG00005022111.1)". Lineage: Eukaryota; Metazoa; Chordata; Mammalia; Artiodactyla; Bovidae. The record is from RNAcentral.